RNAcentral lists this ribosomal RNA (1108 nucleotides) under Bacillus pumilus. RNAcentral's name for it is "bacterial SSU rRNA". It matches the Rfam family "Bacterial small subunit ribosomal RNA", at positions 155 to 1250 of the family's 1533-position model. The record is from RNAcentral. Lineage: Bacteria; Bacillati; Bacillota; Bacilli; Caryophanales; Bacillaceae.
AACCGGAGCUAAUACCGGAUAGUUCCUUGAACCGCAUGGUUCAAGGAUGAAAGACGGUUUCGGCUGUCACUUACAGAUGGACCCGCGGCGCAUUAGCUAGUUGGUGGGGUAAUGGCUCACCAAGGCGACGAUGCGUAGCCGACCUGAGAGGGUGAUCGGCCACACUGGGACUGAGACACGGCCCAGACUCCUACGGGAGGCAGCAGUAGGGAAUCUUCCCCAAUGGACGAAAGUCUGACGGAGCAACGCCGCGUGAGUGAUGAAGGUUUUCGGAUCGUAAAGCUCUGUUGUUAGGGAAGAACAAGUGCGAGAGUAACUGCUCGCACCUUGACGGUACCUAACCAGAAAGCCACGGCUAACUACGUGCCAGCAGCCGCGGUAAUACGUAGGUGGCAAGCGUUGUCCGGAAUUAUUGGGCGUAAAGGGCUCGCAGGCGGUUUCUUAAGUCUGAUGUGAAAGCCCCCGGCUCAACCGGGGAGGGUCAUUGGAAACUGGGAAACUUGAGUGCAGAAGAGGAGAGUGGAAUUCCACGUGUAGCGGUGAAAUGCGUAGAGAUGUGGAGGAACACCAGUGGCGAAGGCGACUCUCUGGUCUGUAACUGACGCUGAGGAGCGAAAGCGUGGGGAGCGAACAGGAUUAGAUACCCUGGUAGUCCACGCCGUAAACGAUGAGUGCUAAGUGUUAGGGGGUUUCCGCCCCUUAGUGCUGCAGCUAACGCAUUAAGCACUCCGCCUGGGGAGUACGGUCGCAAGACUGAAACUCAAAGGAAUUGACGGGGGCCCGCACAAGCGGUGGAGCAUGUGGUUUAAUUCGAAGCAACGCGAAGAACCUUACCAGGUCUUGACAUCCUCUGACAACCCUAGAGAUAGGGCUUUCCCUUCGGGGACAGAGUGACAGGUGGUGCAUGGUUGUCGUCAGCUCGUGUCGUGAGAUGUUGGGUUAAGUCCCGCAACGAGCGCAACCCUUGAUCUUAGUUGCCAGCAUUCAGUUGGGCACUCUAAGGUGACUGCCGGUGACAAACCGGAGGAAGGUGGGGAUGACGUCAAAUCAUCAUGCCCCUUAUGACCUGGGCUACACACGUGCUACAAUGGACAGAACAAAGGGCUGC